RNAcentral lists this ribosomal RNA (425 nucleotides) under uncultured bacterium. Its description in RNAcentral is "partial 16S ribosomal RNA". It matches the Rfam family "Bacterial small subunit ribosomal RNA", at positions 354 to 796 of the family's 1533-position model. The record is from RNAcentral.
GUUAGGAAUAUUGGACAAUGGGCGAAAGCCUGAUCCAGCCAUGCCGCGUGAACGAUGAAGGCCUUCGGGUUGUAAAGUUCUUUAGCCGAUGAUUAUAAUGACUGUAGUCGGAAAAUAAGCCCCGGCUAACUUCGUGCCAGCAGCCGCGGUAAUACGAAGGGGGCGAUCGUUAUUCGGAAUCACUGGGCGUAAAGCGUGCGUAGGCGGUUUUGUAAGUUAGGAGUGAAAGCCCAGGGCUCAACCUUGGAAUUGCUCUUAAAACUGCAAGGCUCGAAUCUCGGAGAGGAUAGCGGAAUUUCCAGUGUAGCAGUGAAAUGCGUAGAUAUUGGAAGGAACACCAGUGGCGUAAGCGGCUAUCUGGACGAGUAUUGACGCUGAGGCACGAAAGCGUGGGGAUCAAACAGGAUUAGAAACCCUAGUAGUCC